This 74-nucleotide transfer RNA is filed under the name Cyanidium caldarium. RNAcentral's name for it is "tRNA-Met". It matches the Rfam family "tRNA". Rfam says of the family: Transfer RNA (tRNA) molecules are approximately 80 nucleotides in length. Their secondary structure includes four short double-helical elements and three loops (D, anti-codon, and T loops). Further hydrogen bonds mediate the characteristic L-shaped molecular structure. tRNAs have two regions of fundamental functional importance: the anti-codon, which is responsible for specific mRNA codon recognition, and the 3' end, to which the tRNAs corresponding amino acid is attached (by aminoacyl-tRNA synthetases). tRNAs cope with the degeneracy of the genetic code in two manners: having more than one tRNA (with a specific anti-codon) for a particular amino acid; and 'wobble' base-pairing, i.e. permitting non-standard base-pairing at the 3rd anti-codon position. The record is from RNAcentral. Lineage: Eukaryota; Rhodophyta; Bangiophyceae; Cyanidiales; Cyanidiaceae.
GGCUUAGUAGCUCAGUGGUUUAGAGCAGGGGAUUCAUAAGCCCAAGGUCGUAAGUUCAAGUCUUAUCUAAGCCA